GGCAAUACUAUUUAACCGACUCAUUUUAACUAUUCUUCUGCUGGAAACCAUUUGACUUCGACCAUGGACAGGAUUGUGACGACGGGAUUGUUUGUUUUAUGUUUUGUGUAUUAUGCUAGCUCUAUGGGACAUCACGGUGUAAUGCCAUAUAAAGCAGCACCAUCUCCUUAUGACCCACCAG
Molecule: long non-coding RNA, 181 nt
Organism: Mytilus trossulus (common blue mussel)
Lineage: Eukaryota; Metazoa; Mollusca; Bivalvia; Mytilida; Mytilidae
Exons: 3
Source: RefSeq, a predicted model, not a curated record